RNAcentral lists this ribosomal RNA (253 nucleotides) under uncultured bacterium. Its description in RNAcentral is "partial 16S ribosomal RNA". It matches the Rfam family "Bacterial small subunit ribosomal RNA", at positions 524 to 776 of the family's 1533-position model. The record is from RNAcentral.
UACGAGGGGGGCGAGCGUUGUUCGGAAUUAUUGGGCGUAAAGGGCGCGUAGGCGGUGCGGUAAGUCACCUGUGAAAUCUCUGGGCUUAACUCAGAGCCUGCAGGCGAAACUGCCGUGCUGGAGUGUGGCAGAGGGGGGUGGAAUUCCACGUGUAGCAGUGAAAUGCGUAGAUAUGUGGAGGAACACCGAUGGCGAAGGCAGCCCCCUGGGUUAACACUGACGCUCAUGCACGAAAGCGUGGGGAGCAAACAGG